Helianthus annuus (common sunflower) is the source of this 2968-nucleotide RNA transcript. RefSeq lists it as uncharacterized. The record is from RefSeq and is a predicted model, not a curated record. The transcript is spliced from 6 exons. Lineage: Eukaryota; Viridiplantae; Streptophyta; Magnoliopsida; Asterales; Asteraceae.
UGCCCUUUUUAUCUCACGAAUCUCUCUCUCUCAGCAGGAGGCUUUCAGGAGAAGUUCGAAACCCUAAUUUGAUGACGGAAGUUAUGGAGAUAGCGAAGCUAUAGCGAUGGUGUUCAUGGUUCUGAUGGUGGCUUGGAGAGUUGUUAGGGUUUUCAAUCAGAGGGCAUCGACGAGGACGAUUGGAGGUCCGAUGAUGGUUUCCAAUGGCAGCAACAACGGUUUCACCUUUUCCUCACUCAAUCUCUCUACCUGAAACAUAAACUUCAUCAAAAAAGACAAGGUGGUCACUCGAUCUAGGGUUUUUGUUGCUGCCUCCUCUCAACAACCCUGAUUUGAUUCUUCAACAUGCCUAAAUCAGGCAAGAAGUCCGCCUACAAGGUUGUUUCAACUCCUGCAGCUGCAACACAACCGAUCAAAAAUGGCAAAAGAGAUGCAGAGGAGAUUGUUCAGAAGAAAGUAGUCAACGGAAAAAAAAAACAGAAGAUAGUCAACGGUGGUGUGCCACGUGAUGUUGAGAAAAAUACCAAGCCCCAGAAGAAAAACAAGAAACAAGAAAGCAAUUCUGAAUCUAAGGAAGAAGAAGAGAAGGUAUAAAGUUUUCACAUGUAUAUAUACUAAUAUUAAUUAUUAAAUGUGAAUAGAACCUAAGUUGUUACCUGAUUAGUUCCCACUAAGAUUUAAGGUCUGAAUGAUAUUUGAUAUCUAAAUUGAUGAUCAAGUUUUAUAAUGUAGCAAUGAGAGGUCUUCACAAAAGAGUGGACAAUUUCAAGUACGAACUGUAUUUGUAAGGGGAUUUGGUACCGAUGACGGCUUUGACGAUGUAUGUUUUACAUUUUAUAAUUCAACCGUGAUGAUGGCGUGUUGGCAAUGGGAGUGAAGUAGAAAGACCAUAGCCCACUGGUUGAGAGUAUAUCGUUAUAGGAUAAUUGGAGUUGAGAGUAUAUGGGUUCCAUAGGAUAAAACCUCCUUUCAUGGAGUUGAGAGUAUAUGGGUUCCAUAGGAUAAAACCUCCUUUCAUACGAAACAAUCUUCCUUUGAUUGAUAAAUUUUAACUCUUUAGCAAGUUCAGGUGGGUAUUACGGGUUAGUUUUUGGCCCGUUUAGGCACUUUUUGCCUCUUGCUUUGCUUGAGGCACCUAGGUUGCACACCUGUGCCUCGCCUCACCUCGCUUUGCUAGAGCGCCUUUGGUACAAACAUAACUAUCCAUGCUUUCUUGUUGUUUUUUGUAUGCCUGUAGGUUCAAGUUUCAGAGGGCACAUCUAUUUAUACCCAAUGCAGCUCAUGGUUAAAGAAUAGGUUUUGCUUUAGCACAACAGGUGUAUUAUUGUUCUAUAUUUAUUUAUCUUUACUGCAUAUCAUGGUAACACGAAUGUAUCCUUGACUGUGACAAAAAAAGAUAUUGCUUAUUCUAACUAACCUUUCUACUCACAAAAGCGUAACUUCCCCGGUGGAUUUCAUUUUUUUAAUAUUUUAGAAAUAUGUCCCUAUAACUUCACAGCAUAGAUACACACCUAUAACUUUCUCUUACAUAAGUUCAUAGAACUAAUCGAUGUAUCUAUGCUCAUUUUGGAAAUCAUCCUCUUUUUAAAGCAGAGCCAUUCGUAAUUUUAUCGGCUGCUUUCACAUAUCAGCCUCCUACAAAGGGACUGUGGUGUUUUCCAGUUCGCCUCGCGCCUCGGUCACAUUAUUUAAAACCAAAUUGUGUUUCAACAACUAAGUGUACCCAUGUAGACAGGUGGCAUUAUAUAUUAUAUAUAGCUAUAAUUUGUAACAUUUAUGUGCAGUUAUGUUUGUACAUUAUGCUAUUGUGGUUUUCUAUGUAUAUUUGUAUGAUACCUUUUGGUUAGUGGGUUGUACCCUUUCUUUGCAUACCAUGUGUACCCAUGACUUGGAUAAGCAGAUAAUGGGUUUUAGGGGGAAAAGAUUAGACAUCAAACCCUUCCUCCUUUGAUCAGAUAAAGAUGAGAGAGAGCGCGAUAGAAAGAUUGCGGAGAGAGAGGGAAUUGAUUCCAUGGUGGUUUGAUGGCGGUGGGUUGAGCCGGAGCUGCAAAGACGGUGUUUCAUGGCGGUGGUUCUACCACCGGUGACGACGGUGGUUUGCUGAAGAAGACGCCAUCGCAUCCGGAGGUCCGCCCAGGCGUCGCACAUCGGAAAGGUUUCGGAGUUAAUUUUUUUGUUUCAGUUUAACAUGUUGAUCCAAUGUGUUGUUGUACAUGUAGCUUCAUUGGUGUUUUCUGCCUUUUGCUCAUGUAUAAGCAAAAGGUGCUAAAUUGAGGUAUCGGUAUCCCCAUGGAGUCUUAUUUAGAUGUGAUACAAAGGUUUGCAUUUCUUAUCUGAUGAGUUACUUUUUUCUUCACGUUCCCUUUAAAUGGAUCAAUUUGGGCAGUGGUAUCUCACUCAGAACCAAAAAAAAAGAAGCUAAAACCCUGCUAAAUCGUUUUAUAUAAAUAACUUUGGGUCGAUUUGACCCGUCUCAAUCCCAUCCAUUAAUUAUGUCACAUCCAAACCACCUUUAUCAAUAUAUGACUAAUAUUCUAAUAUAUAUAACUGGAUGAUUAAAUCCUCAAUCUGUUGCAGGUUGGAGACUAUGAUAAUCGAGCUUGAACGACAAAGGCUCCUGUUGUAGUAGUAUCUCACGAGGCUAUUUUGAGAGCAUUCUAUGUAUAUUUUGUUGAUAGCCUGAUAGACCAUUGAAAGAAAUUCUGCACAUAGAGAUGCCAUUGCAUACAAUAGAGAUACAAAUAGGAGCCACAGGAGUAGAAGAGAAAGAUACAAGCUCAUGGAUUGAGAUAUACUUACGCACCAAGUUGACAUUAUUUGCUUGUAACUUAUUAACACUACGAGCUAUAUACGUUUAUUCAACUUCUACUUCCCCCAAAAAUGAAAUCAAAUAGUACACGAACAUUGGUUACUAAACAUUAAUAUUGUAAUCGACUAAUCUUCAUUAAUAAAAAAUAUAUUGAAUACA